UAAGCGACUAAGCGUACACGGUGGAUGCCAUGGCAGUCAGAGGCGAUGAAGGACGUGCUAAUCUGCGAUAAGCGUCGGUAAGGUGAUAUGAACCGUUAUAACCGGCGAUUUCCGAAUGGGGAAACCCAGUGUGAUUCGUCACACUAUCAUUAACUGAAUCCAUAGGUUAAUGAGGCGAACCGGGGGAACUGAAACAUCUAAGUACCCCGAGGAAAAGAAAUCAACCGAGAUUCCCCCAGUAGCGGCGAGCGAACGGGGAGCAGCCCAGAGUCUGAAUCAGUGUGUGUGUUAGUGGAAGCGUCUGGAAAGGCGCGCGAUACAGGGUGACAGCCCCGUACACAAAAAUGCACAUGCUGUGAGCCCGAUGAGUAGGGCGGGACACGUGGUAUCCUGUCUGAAUAUGGGGGGACCAUCCUCCAAGGCUAAAUACUCCUGACUGACCGAUAGUGAACCAGUACCGUGAGGGAAAGGCGAAAAGAACCCCGGCGAGGGGAGUGAAAAAGAACCUGAAACCGUGUACGUACAAGCAGUGGGAGCCUCUUUUAUGGGGUGACUGCGUACCUUUUGUAUAAUGGGUCAGCGACUUAUAUUCUGUAGCAAGGUUAACCGAAUAGGGGAGCCGAAGGGAAACCGAGUCUUAACUGGGCGUUAAGCUAGCAGGGUAUAGACCCGAAACCCGGUGAUCUAGCCAUUGGCAGGUUGAAGGUUGGGUAACACUAACUGGAGGACCGAACCGACUAAUGUUGAAAAAUUAGCGGAUGACUUGUGGCUGGGGGUGAAAGGCCAAUCAAACCGGGAGAUAGCUGGUUCUCCCCGAAAGCUAUUUAGGUAGCGCCUCGUGAAUUCAUCUCCGGGGGUAGAGCACUGUUUCGGCAAGGGGGUCAUCCCGACUUACCAACCCGAUGCAAACUGCGAAUACCGGAGAAUGUUAUCACGGGAGACACACGGCGGGUGCUAACGUCCGUCGUGAAGAGGGAAACAACCCAGACCGCCAGCUAAGGUCCCAAAGUCAUGGUUAAGUGGGAAACGAUGUGGGAAGGCCCAGACAGCCAGGAUGUUGGCUUAGAAGCAGCCAUCAUUUAAAGAAAGCGUAAUAGCUCACUGGUCGAGUCGGCCUGCGCGGAAGAUGUAACGGGGCUAAACCAUGCACCGAAGCUGCGGCAGCGACGCUUAUGCGUUGUUGGGUAGGGGAGCGUUCUGUAAGCCUGUGAAGGUGUGCUGUGAGGCAUGCUGGAGGUAUCAGAAGUGCGAAUGCUGACAUAAGUAACGAUAAAGCGGGUGAAAAGCCCGCUCGCCGGAAGACCAAGGGUUCCUGUCCAACGUUAAUCGGGGCAGGGUGAGUCGACCCCUAAGGCGAGGCCGAAAGGCGUAGUCGAUGGGAAACAGGUUAAUAUUCCUGUACUUGGUGUUACUGCGAAGGGGGGACGGAGAAGGCUAUGUUGGCCGGGCGACGGUUGUCCCGGUUUAAGCGUGUAGGCUGGUUUUCCAGGCAAAUCCGGAAAAUCAAGGCUGAGGCGUGAUGACGAGGCACUACGGUGCUGAAGCAACAAAUGCCCUGCUUCCAGGAAAAGCCUCUAAGCAUCAGGUAACAUCAAAUCGUACCCCAAACCGACACAGGUGGUCAGGUAGAGAAUACCAAGGCGCUUGAGAGAACUCGGGUGAAGGAACUAGGCAAAAUGGUGCCGUAACUUCGGGAGAAGGCACGCUGAUAUGUAGGUGAAGCGACUUGCUCGUGGAGCUGAAAUCAGUCGAAGAUACCAGCUGGCUGCAACUGUUUAUUAAAAACACAGCACUGUGCAAACACGAAAGUGGACGUAUACGGUGUGACGCCUGCCCGGUGCCGGAAGGUUAAUUGAUGGGGUCAGCGCAAGCGAAGCUCUUGAUCGAAGCCCCGGUAAACGGCGGCCGUAACUAUAACGGUCCUAAGGUAGCGAAAUUCCUUGUCGGGUAAGUUCCGACCUGCACGAAUGGCGUAAUGAUGGCCAGGCUGUCUCCACCCGAGACUCAGUGAAAUUGAACUCGCUGUGAAGAUGCAGUGUACCCGCGGCAAGACGGAAAGACCCCGUGAACCUUUACUAUAGCUUGACACUGAACAUUGAGCCUUGAUGUGUAGGAUAGGUGGGAGGCUUUGAAGUGUGGACGCCAGUCUGCAUGGAGCCGACCUUGAAAUACCACCCUUUAAUGUUUGAUGUUCUAACGUUGGCCCCUAAUCGGGGUUGCGGACAGUGUCUGGUGGGUAGUUUGACUGGGGCGGUCUCCUCCUAAAGAGUAACGGAGGAGCACGAAGGUUGGCUAAUCCUGGUCGGACAUCAGGAGGUUAGUGCAAUGGCAUAAGCCAGCUUGACUGCGAGCGUGACGGCGCGAGCAGGUGCGAAAGCAGGUCAUAGUGAUCCGGUGGUUCUGAAUGGAAGGGCCAUCGCUCAACGGAUAAAAGGUACUCCGGGGAUAACAGGCUGAUACCGCCCAAGAGUUCAUAUCGACGGCGGUGUUUGGCACCUCGAUGUCGGCUCAUCACAUCCUGGGGCUGAAGUAGGUCCCAAGGGUAUGGCUGUUCGCCAUUUAAAGUGGUACGCGAGCUGGGUUUAGAACGUCGUGAGACAGUUCGGUCCCUAUCUGCCGUGGGCGCUGGAGAACUGAGGGGGGCUGCUCCUAGUACGAGAGGACCGGAGUGGACGCAUCACUGGUGUUCGGGUUGUCAUGCCAAUGGCACUGCCCGGUAGCUAAAUGCGGAAGAGAUAAGUGCUGAAAGCAUCUAAGCACGAAACUUGCCCCGAGAUGAGUUCUCCCUGACCCUUUAAGGGUCCUGAAGGAACGUUGAAGACGACGACGUUGAUAGGCCGGGUGUGUAAGCGCAGCGAUGCGUUGAGCUAACCGGUACUAAUGAACCGUGAGGCUUAACCU
RNAcentral lists this ribosomal RNA (2901 nucleotides) under Escherichia coli BCE008_MS-13. RNAcentral's name for it is "bacterial LSU rRNA". It matches the Rfam family "Bacterial large subunit ribosomal RNA". The record is from RNAcentral. Lineage: Bacteria; Pseudomonadati; Pseudomonadota; Gammaproteobacteria; Enterobacterales; Enterobacteriaceae.